RNAcentral lists this ribosomal RNA (433 nucleotides) under uncultured bacterium. RNAcentral describes it as "partial 16S ribosomal RNA". It matches the Rfam family "Bacterial small subunit ribosomal RNA", at positions 28 to 507 of the family's 1533-position model. The record is from RNAcentral.
GACGAACGCUGGCGGCAUGCCUAACACAUGCAAGUCGAACGAGACCUUCGGGUCUAGUGGCGCACGGGUGCGUAACGCGUGGGAACCUGCCCUUAGGUUCGGAAUAACUCCCCGAAAGGGGUGCUAAUACCGGAUAAUGUCUUCGGACCAAAGAUUUAUCGCCUUUGGAUGGACCCGCGUUGGAUUAGAUAGUUGGUAGGGUAAAAGCCUACCAAGGCGACGAUCCAUAGCUGGUCUGAGAGGAUGAUCAGCCACACUGGGACUGAGACACGGCCCAGACUCCUACGGGAGGCAGCAGUGGGGAAUAUUGGACAAUGGGCGAAAGCCUGAUCCAGCAAUGCCGCGUGAGUGAUGAAGGCCUUAGGGUUGUAAAGCUCUUUUAACCGGGAUGAUAAUGACAGUACCGGGAGAAUAAGCUCCGGCUAACUCCGUG